GGGUCAGUAGGUUGGUCGUGCCACCGGUACGUACUGGUCUCACUGAUUCCUCCUCCCUGAAGUACCGUAAUGCCAUUAAUUUGGUGUUGCGGGGAAACAGGACUGUUACUUUGAAAAAAUUAGAGUGUUUAAAGCAAGCUAACGCUUGAAUACAUUAGCAUGGAAUAAUGAAAUAGGACGAUCGAUCCUAUUUUGUUGGUUUCUAGGAUUGACGUA
This 216-nucleotide ribosomal RNA is filed under the name Glomeromycotina sp. RNAcentral describes it as "partial small subunit ribosomal RNA". The stretch from base 75 to 216 matches the Rfam family "Eukaryotic small subunit ribosomal RNA", at positions 721 to 864 of the family's 1831-position model. Lineage: Eukaryota; Fungi; Glomeromycota. The record is from RNAcentral.